GACGAACGCUGGCGGCGCGCCUAACACAUGCAAGUCGAACGGAGCUUAGAGAGCUUGCUUUUUAAGCUUAGUGGCGAACGGGUGAGUAACGCGUGAGUAACCUGCCCUAGAGUGGGGGACAACAGUUGGAAACGACUGCUAAUACCGCAUAAGCCCACGGUACCGCAUGGUACUGAGGGAAAAGGAUUUAUUCGCUUUAGGAUGGACUCGCGUCCAAUUAGCUAGUUGGUGAGGUAACGGCCCACCAAGGCGACGAUUGGUAGCCGGACUGAGAGGUUGAACGGCCACAUUGGGACUGAGACACGGCCCAGACUCCUACGGGAGGCAGCAGUGGGGGAUAUUGCACAAUGGGGGAAACCCUGAUGCAGCGACGCCGCGUGGAGGAAGAAGGUUUUCGGAUUGUAAACUCCUGUCGUUAGGGACGAUAAUGACGGUACCUAACAAGAAAGCACCGGC
This 456-nucleotide ribosomal RNA is filed under the name uncultured bacterium. RNAcentral's name for it is "bacterial SSU rRNA". It matches the Rfam family "Bacterial small subunit ribosomal RNA", at positions 28 to 497 of the family's 1533-position model. The record is from RNAcentral.